This 1528-nucleotide long non-coding RNA is filed under the name Equus caballus (horse). RNAcentral describes it as "lncRNA (ENSECAG00000054682.1)". Lineage: Eukaryota; Metazoa; Chordata; Mammalia; Perissodactyla; Equidae. The record is from RNAcentral.
CUAGGGUGGCUGCCAAAACACUGUGGCUUCUGUGGGGGCUCCACGUAGUAAAGUGUCCUUCCGUCCUCUCCAGGACCCCAUGGGAGGCUGGCAUUAGGCAGCCACUUCAGGAGGUGCAGUGCCAGAUGCAUGAUGUCGUGCCUUUCCGAGUCACCCUCCGGAGGGGCCAGAAGGGAUGUGACCAGGAGGUGGCUGACCAGGACAGGACAAUUCCCAGACUCCCCAGUGUGGAGUCGAUAAACAGCCAGGCAGUGCGAGUUUAUUUGGAACACACGUUGAGCCAGGGAAGCCCGAGAGAGGUAAUUCUCACAAGCACCAUCCAGGUUUCCCAGAUGAGGAAAUCAGGCUUAGAGACAAUAAGUGGCUUUGUCCCAGGCCUCAGUCAGGAAGGGCCAGAGCCGGGAUUUGAAUGCAAGACUCUCUACCACUUUCCAUUGCACCAGGCAGAGAGGAAGAAGGAAAAAAUACAAGUAUGCUUGAAUGUCCACCACCUUCCGGGCACUGUGUUGACGUGGGACAUGGCAGCGAACGAGACAAACCCUGCAGAGCCCUGGGGAUCUCACAUGAGCAACUGACCAGAGUGUUCAGGAGACUCCUGGAGACAAAGGAGAGGUGGGAACAGAGAGAGGAGCAGGAGGAAGGGCAUGAUGGCUCAUGUGCCUUCAGGCCUGGACCCCCUGGAGGAAGUCUCCGUCAGCACUCCUCCCAGCCCAUCCCAGAACUACGAGCCCUGCUGGAAAUGGCAACACCUUUGCGCAUGACCCCUGACCAGCCAUUCUGAGGUGACCAUUCUGCUCAGAGGGCCCUCAGCCAGAGGUCAGGAGCCUCACGACUGCUGGUGAGGAGCUGAGGCCUGUGUGCCAGAGGCUGCUCAUGGCACUGAGGGGUCAGGACCAGGAGGUCAUGAGAGAAGGCAGUCAAGCUGGUGCCCGCCAUGGUGUCCAGAACCAAACUGACACCAGGCUCUUUUGUACCAACUCAAGGAAAGAACGGGCUUGUUUUCUUUUCUCAGCCCCCAAGGACUUUCUCUGCCCUCCCCUCCCGGGAGGAACUUCUGUGAACCUGGAGACCUCCUGGCUCUGCCCAAGCUGGUCUUGAUUAUCCAGCUACACUGCAGGGAAGAGAGGAGAGAGGGGCUGCUCAGUCCAGCCAGGUCGAAGGCAAGGGUUCCCUUCCCUUGGACAGAUGGGCGCCUUGAUGUGUCCACUCAUUCAUUUGUUCAAUAAGGAUUGACGAAGCAUCUUCUGUGCCAGCCGCUGUGCUAGGCUCUGGUGAGGGUAGGUGAGAAAGCUGUGGAAAGGACCUGUUGUUUGUGCAAGGACAGAUGACUAACAUGAAGGAUGAAGGAGCCCUUUCUCUGGGGGCAAGUGGGCACCUGACAGCGAAGGAGAGACACACAUAGGCACCCUAAUAAAACUACUCUGAGAGCUCUUUGUGGCAGGGCUGGGUCCCGGGGCAGCCUGUUUGUCAGGGCCAGGAUCCAGCCCCACACUGUGUUUCCUUUGUGUUCACGGGUCCACCAUGUGGG